UAAGGAAUAUUGGGCAAUGGACGCAAGUCUGACCCAGCCAUGCCGCGUGGAGGAUGAAGGUCCUCUGGAUUGUAAACUUCUUUUAUCAGAGAAGAAGCCCGGGAAUUCUUUCCCGGUUGACGGUACCUGAUGAAUAAGCACCGGCUAACUCCGUGCCAGCAGCCGCGGUAAUACGGAGGGUGCGAGCGUUAUCCGGAUUCACUGGGUUUAAAGGGUGCGUAGGUGGGUUGCCAAGUCCGUGGUGAAAUCUCUGAGCUUAACUCAGAAACUGCCGUGGAUACUGGUGAUCUUGAAUAUCGUUGAGGUGAGCGGAAUAUGUCAUGUAGCGGUGAAAUGCUUAGAUAUGACAUAGAACACCGAUAGCGGAGGCAGCUUACUAAGCGAUCAUUGACGCUGAGGCACGAAAGCGUGGGGAGCAAACA
This 422-nucleotide ribosomal RNA is filed under the name uncultured bacterium. RNAcentral's name for it is "bacterial SSU rRNA". It matches the Rfam family "Bacterial small subunit ribosomal RNA", at positions 355 to 774 of the family's 1533-position model. The record is from RNAcentral.